RNAcentral lists this ribosomal RNA (253 nucleotides) under uncultured bacterium. RNAcentral's name for it is "partial 16S ribosomal RNA". It matches the Rfam family "Bacterial small subunit ribosomal RNA", at positions 524 to 776 of the family's 1533-position model. The record is from RNAcentral.
UACGUAGGGGGCAAGCGUUGUCCGGAUUUAUUGGGCGUAAAGAGCGUGUAGGCGGCCAAACAGGUCAGCUGUGAAAACUCGAGGCUCAACCUCGAGACGUCGGUUGAAACCGUUUGGCUAGAGUCCGGAAGAGGAGAGUGGAAUUCCCGGUGUAGCGGUGAAAUGCGCAGAUAUCGGGAAGAACACCCGUGGCGAAGGCGGCUCUCUGGGACGGUACUGACGCUAAGGCGCGAAAGCGUGGGGAGCGAACAGG